Molecule: ribosomal RNA, 167 nt
Filed under: Ophiostoma minus
Lineage: Eukaryota; Fungi; Ascomycota; Sordariomycetes; Ophiostomatales; Ophiostomataceae
Description: 5.8S ribosomal RNA
Rfam family: 5.8S ribosomal RNA
About the family: 5.8S ribosomal RNA (5.8S rRNA) is a component of the large subunit of the eukaryotic ribosome. It is transcribed by RNA polymerase I as part of the 45S precursor that also contains 18S and 28S rRNA.
Source: RNAcentral
CAAAACUUUCAACAACGGAUCUCUUGGCUCUGGCAUCGAUGAAGAACGCAGCGAAAUGCGAUACGUAAUGCGAAUUGCAGAAUCCAGCGAGUCAUCGAAUCUUUGAACGCACAUUGCGCCCGCCAGCAUUCUGGCGGGCAUGCCUGUCCGAGCGUCAUUUCCCCCCU